RNAcentral lists this transfer RNA (69 nucleotides) under Harpadon microchir. RNAcentral describes it as "tRNA-Ser (AGY)". Lineage: Eukaryota; Metazoa; Chordata; Actinopteri; Aulopiformes; Synodontidae. The record is from RNAcentral.
GAGAGAGGCCCGACGGCAGUAAAGACUGCUAAUCUUUCCCAACCAAGGUUAGACCCCUUGGCUCCCUCG